AAUCUGUGAUGAUCCUAUCCCGAACCUGAAUUUCUGUUGAAAAUCUUAAUUACGGAUCUGGCUUCUGAGAU
This is a small nucleolar RNA of Nannospalax galili (Upper Galilee mountains blind mole rat), 71 nucleotides long. NCBI's taxonomy places the organism in Eukaryota, Metazoa, Chordata, Mammalia, Rodentia, Spalacidae. The record is from Ensembl.